Molecule: ribosomal RNA, 636 nt
Filed under: Melastoma malabathricum
Lineage: Eukaryota; Viridiplantae; Streptophyta; Magnoliopsida; Myrtales; Melastomataceae
Description: eukaryotic LSU rRNA
Rfam family: 5.8S ribosomal RNA (bases 251-406)
Source: RNAcentral
AAAACGAACGGAAGAACGACCCGCGAACCGUCCCCACCUACCGAACGGAGGUCGCGAGCCGAAACGCUCGCGUCCCUCGCGUCGCGUCGGCGCGGGCCUUCCCCGGAGGCCGGCGUCGUCCCGACAAACGAACAUCGUCAGCACGAAUCGUGCCAAGGACCCGUAAAAGGCGAGAAUCGCCGUCCCCGGCCCCCGGUCGUUCUCGGCGGGGGGCGCGGGACGCGCGCGAUCUCUGCUCUAAGUCUUUAAUGACUCUCGGCAACGGAUAUCUCGGCUCUUGCAUCGAUGAAGAACGUAGCGAAAUGCGAUACUUGGUGUGAAUUGCAGAAUCCCGCGAACCAUCAAUUCUUUGAACGCAAGUUGCGCCCGAAGCCAUUUGGCCGAGGGCACGCCUGCCUGGGCGUCGUGAAUCCCCUUGCCCCCCGGAACCCGCGCGAGCAUCGUCGCGGGUUUUCCCGGGCGCAGAAUAUGGUCUCCCGUCGCAUCGGCGUGCGCGGCACGCCGUGGUACGGUUGGCCGAAAAUCGAGCAUUGCGACGUCGGGCUGCACGGCGCUAGGUGGAUCGAACGCGAUUGGCUGCGCCGUGGUCCCGUCGUGCCGCGGGCUCAGGACUAGGACGGUUCCCCAGUGCGAUCC